Pseudopipra pipra is the source of this 2345-nucleotide long non-coding RNA. RefSeq lists it as uncharacterized. The transcript is spliced from 2 exons. The record is from RefSeq and is a predicted model, not a curated record. Lineage: Eukaryota; Metazoa; Chordata; Aves; Passeriformes; Pipridae.
GGGUCCCUGGGAAGACUCCUACGAAUCCAUCAUUGAGAAUGGCAACCAGGGAAAGCAGCCAUUUUCUCCAGAAGAAAACUGUUCUGCCACAUUCUCUUAAAGUAUAUUCUCCUCCCAGGGCAAGCACAGAGCUCCCAUCAACACUAAUGCACACACAGAGAGGGAGAAGUAAAAGGAAAAAAUCUGAAUUUCAAAAAAAAUAUUACACAAUCCUGCUUAUGCAGGUGAACAUUACCGAUCAUUUUGGUCUCCGAUAUCACAAACCGUUAUGGUGAUUUCUCUCACAUCAUGCAAAUGGCUGCAUAAUGUCUACUCCUCUUGGAAUGUAAAAUCAAAUCAGCAUUCUAAUGAUACAAGCCCGUGAUGAGCUUGGAAAUAAAUAUGCAGAAGCGCAUAAAAAAAAAAAUCAAGGCAAUCAAGGAGAGCCAGCGUCCUAGCUUGGACUAUAAAUCUUUGUCUGUUUCAAUCGUAAAGCUGGCCGAAUCAGUGUAAAAUUCGAGCAGGGAUGUCAUCAAUUUCUGUUAACCUCUCUAUUCUUCUUUGUGUUGGCGGUGCAGUGAUGGAUUGGUUUUGUCACUUGUGCUCAGUUCACAGUAUGUUAACAUGGAAGGGUGCAGUCAGGUUAUGAAGAAGGGUUAUUACUGUCCCAGCUCUGACCUGGACUUACUAUCUUUUCUAGUAUCACAAAACCUUACUGUCUUUGGGAGCGAGAAGUAGCAUCCUUGGAGCUGCUUAAUGCUAAACAGGGCAGCCGCAGUUGUAUUCCUCCAGUUGCUUUGCUAUAGUUCUUUCCAGAUGUUUUGCUCCAGUGUAUAGGCCCAUUCUUUUCUACCAUUUUUUAAUUAAUCAAUUAAUGUAGGAGAUGCUUAUUAAUCCAGCUACCAGUGCAGGAAGAAAAGUAAUGAAUUACUGGAUUAAGAGGAAUCUAUGAUCUGCAAACACAAAAAGAUUCAUAAUUUUACAAUUUCUAAAUAACAAAGCGCUGGUAAUGAAACAGAGGUAGUAACAUAAACACAGUGGCAUGUAGCGAAUGCAUAAAUGUUUUAAGGAGCGGACCAAGAAUUCUUCUGUCAUGUUGUCUUGAUCAUUUGGUAAAGAUGUGAAUUUAAUGAGUUAGGGUGUUCUUCAGAUCAUUUACUGCUUCUCUAUGCUGUGUCAAUGUACUCAGUGCAAUCUGUAUUGCACAGCACUGAGACACCUGGUCCUACUUCAAAAACUUGCAAGCUCAACUUUAAGCAACUUCAGGCUCUAUUAAUGUCAAUGGAACUGCUUAAGUGCUUAAGUUAAGCAUGUUCCUAAAUGCUUUGUUGGAAGACUGUAAUAAAUUCUAAUUCAGAGCCCAAUGAAAUCUGUAGGAGUCUUUAUAUUGACUUCAACGGCAUUGUAUCAGGCUAAUAGAGCUCAACACCUUGCAGAACUGAGCCCUUAAACAGUUGGUUCAUUUCACCACAUAAGUGGUUGCUUUAGUGGUGGAUGAAGUGAUCCCUAUGUGUAGUAUCUAAUAUAGUGUGUUUCAGCUUGUUAAGUUAGUAAAGUGCUUUGGGAUCACUUGAGAUGAAUGGUACAAUCCAAAUGCAAGUUAUCACUACAGUGCCAGAAGUACUAUUUUUUGUGAGUGAAAAAUCACAUUAAAAUAGAUGCUUUAAAACAAAGGAAAUAGAACAUUAUAAAAAUUCUAUAUCUAUUUACUUCUGUAACAAAAAGCCAAGUGGAACAAAAUAACUCCUGCAAUAGGUAGUCUGGGUCAGCAGAAAAGCUGAACAAUUGUGGGUCAAUGGCAUUUUGUAAGUGAUGCUUUUGCUCUCGACAAAUUGGACCCAGGAUAUAGGAGUAAAUCUGGUCACAAAUGUCUGCCACUUCUCGGAGCUGUGUUGGCUGCUCAAAAGCAAUUAAGUGAAGUGGGUGCUCAAGUCCCAUUGAAUGUCCCAAUUAACAAUUAGCAAGACUUGUGCUCUUAAGGGUUUUUGGAGAUCUUACACAAUACGACAAUGACAAAGUCACAUGAAGGAGACUUUCUAUAUCCUUUCUAUAGGAGUUAUUUUUAAAGUCAUAUAAAAAAUUUCUGAAUUAAAUAUAGUAUAGAACCAAGAAAGAAGCAACUGUUACAUCAUAACUUUACUAUCCACCAUUGAGUUCAGGAAUGUAGAAGGAACCCAGUCAGGCAACAGGGUUGGCAAUCUAACCAAAUCCAAACUGAUAGAAGUUUCAUAAGCAACUUUUCCUUUAAAAGCUUAUUCCUACAUUAUGGCAUUUUUAAGAUGUCUCGGCAUACCAAAACACCGUAUAUUAAUUAGAAAACUGGAGGUAAGUUUGGCAUGAUAAAGUUUCUCUGUGUGGUCAGUGUA